Alosa sapidissima (American shad) is the source of this 133-nucleotide long non-coding RNA. RefSeq lists it as uncharacterized. The transcript has 3 exons. Lineage: Eukaryota; Metazoa; Chordata; Actinopteri; Clupeiformes; Clupeidae. The record is from RefSeq and is a predicted model, not a curated record.
GGGAGUUCUUUGACAAUCUGCCUGUAGUGAUGGACAGGCAUGCCUUCCCUCCACACAUGAUUUACAAUGUGGAUGAAACAGGUGUCUUUACAGUACAAAAGCCACAGCAGGUUGUGACAGAGACAGGAAAAAA